GUGCUUAACACAUGCAAGUCGAACGAUGAUCCGGUGCUUGCGCCGGGGAUUAGUGGCGAACGGGUGAGUAACACGUGAGUAACCUGCCCUUGACUCUGGGAUAAGCCUGGGAAACUGGGUCUAAUACCGGAUAUGACUCCUCAUCGCAUGGUGGGGGGUGGAAAGCUUUUUUGUGGUUUUGGAUGGACUCGCGGCCUAUCAGCUUGUUGGUGAGGUAAUGGCUCACCAAGGCGACGACGGGUAGCCGGCCUGAGAGGGUGACCGGCCACACUGGGACUGAGACACGGCCCAGACUCCUACGGGAGGCAGCAGUGGGGAAUAUUGCACAAUGGGCGAAAGCCUGAUGCAGCGACGCCGCGUGAGGGAUGACGGCCUUCGGGUUGUAAACCUCUUUCAGUAGGGAAGAAGCGAAAGUGACGGUACCUGCUGAAGAAGCGCCGGCUAACUACGUGCCAGCAGCCGCGGUAAUACGUAGGGCGCAAGCGUUAUCCGGAAUUAUUGGGCGUAAAGAGCUCGUAGGCGGUUUGUCGCGUCUGCCGUG
Molecule: ribosomal RNA, 541 nt
Filed under: earthworm burrow bacterium B1D1
Lineage: Bacteria
Description: bacterial SSU rRNA
Rfam family: Bacterial small subunit ribosomal RNA
Source: RNAcentral